Molecule: ribosomal RNA, 489 nt
Filed under: uncultured bacterium
Lineage: Bacteria
Description: SSU rRNA
Rfam family: Bacterial small subunit ribosomal RNA
Source: RNAcentral
AGAGCGAACGUUAGCGGCGGGCUUAACACAUGCAAGUCGAGCGAGAAAGUGGCUUCGGCCAUCAGUAAAGCGGCGGACGGGUGAGUAACACGUAGGUAAUUUUCCUUCCAGCGGGGGACAACGUUCCGAAAGGGACGCUAAUACCGCGUACGUUUCCCGGGACUUCGGUCCUGGGAAGGAAAGCUAGGUAGCAAUAUCUGGCACUGGAUGAGAAGCCUGCGUCGCAUCAGCUAGUUGGUGGGGUAACGGCCUACCAAGGCGAAGACGCGUAGCUGGUCUGAGAGGAUGAUCAGCCACACUGGGACUGAGACACGGCCCAGACUCCUACGGGAGGCAGCAGUGGGGAAUCUUGCGCAAUGGGCGAAAGCCUGACGCAGCAACGCCGCGUGCGGGAAGAAGGCUCUCGGGUUGUAAACCGCUUUCAGAAGGAACGAAACUGACGGUACUUUCAGAAGAAGGUGCGGCCAACUACGUGCCAGCAGCCGCGGU